ACCCUUGUGUGUUCCUAUCUUUCCUGUCUUCUCCAAGGCCAAACCAGUCUACUACCUCACUCGUGCUGGGAGAAUGCUGGUAACAGAGCUUGCAGUGUUAAACACACAGACUUCCAAAUUGGUUAUUGAGGAGCCUACCAUUCACCUCACUGAAGCUGGGAGGCUAGUGCUUGACGAACUGUCAGCACCUUCAGAUAG
Molecule: long non-coding RNA, 198 nt
Organism: Coregonus clupeaformis (lake whitefish)
Lineage: Eukaryota; Metazoa; Chordata; Actinopteri; Salmoniformes; Salmonidae
Exons: 3
Source: RefSeq, a predicted model, not a curated record